CUACGGGACGCAGCAGUGAGGGAUAUUGCACAAUGGGGGAACCCUGAUGCAGCAACGCCGCGUGGAGGAUGACGCAUUUCGGUGUGUAAACUCCUUUUAUAUGUCAAGAAAAUGACGGUAGCAUAUGAAUAAGCACCGGCUAACUCCGUGCCAGCAGCCGCGGUAAUACGGAGGGUGCAAGCGUUACUCGGAAUCACUGGGCGUAAAGGACGCGUAGGCGGGUUGGAAAGUCAGGUGUGAAAUCCUACAGCUUAACUGUAGAACUGCACUUGAAACUUCUAAUCUAGAGUAUGGGAGGGGGAGAUGGAAUUAGUGGUGUAGGGGUAAAAUCCGUAGAUAUCACUAGGAAUACCUAAAGCGAAGGCGAUCUCCUGGAACAUUACUGACGCUAAGGCGUGAAAGCGUGGGGAGCAAACAGGAUUAGAUACCCCAGUAGUC
Molecule: ribosomal RNA, 438 nt
Filed under: uncultured bacterium
Lineage: Bacteria
Description: partial 16S ribosomal RNA
Rfam family: Bacterial small subunit ribosomal RNA
Source: RNAcentral